CGUCACCAGGACCGACGCGGCCAGGAUCACGAAGAUCGCAAGACCGUGGUGCGCGAGCAGAUCGAGCUGCUGCACCACACCGACGCCCGCCGGCACGAACAGCAGCGACAGAUGCGCCAGCAUGCCUUUCGCGGCCCCCUCCACCGCGUUGUCGCGCAGCGGCCCUCGCGCCAGGAUCGGAAAACGAUCGCGUGUAAUCAGCACCACGAACAAAAGUGCAAGCCCAACUACCGGCCCCGGCACGGGCACCCGCAAUCC
This 258-nucleotide unclassified non-coding RNA is filed under the name Hevea brasiliensis (rubber tree). Lineage: Eukaryota; Viridiplantae; Streptophyta; Magnoliopsida; Malpighiales; Euphorbiaceae. The record is from RNAcentral.